Molecule: RNA transcript, 2032 nt
Organism: Selaginella moellendorffii
Lineage: Eukaryota; Viridiplantae; Streptophyta; Lycopodiopsida; Selaginellales; Selaginellaceae
Gene name: protein HESO1
Exons: 10
Source: RefSeq, a predicted model, not a curated record
UGGCGGGGACGAUUCAAGCGCCGAGAGAGUCUAAGGUGCGUCGCCGCUCGAUUCUUCCGGGCGCUUGACGUGAAAUGGCGCUGGACCGUGACAUCGCUGCGACCGCCGCGCAGCUGGAGCACCAGCGCGUGGAUGACUUGAGGCGCUCCAAUGCGGCAGCGCUGUUCGAGGGCUUGCUGAUGGCUACUGCGAAUCAGCUCCAGCCGACGCAGCAAGAUUUCGAGGCCAGAGUAGAUAUUUUGCGGCGGCUGGAGUAUUUGAUAAGAGAAAUCGAUGUUUGCAAAGGCUUGGCGAUUAAACCUUUUGGAUCGUUCCUGUCAAACUUGUAUACGCCUUGGGGAGAUUUAGAUAUUACUUUGAUGCCGCUUGAGUCGGCACCGCUUUCCAGGAGCAAAAAGACCAAAAUUCUGAAGUCUAUCCAUGAUGCUCUACUUCAAGCUGGUGGAGCGAUUCGUGUCCAAGUUCUGUUUCGGCCUCGCGUUCCACUCUUAAUGUUUGAAGAUGCAUGGUGGAGAAUCUCAUGUGACAUCUCCGUGAGCAAUACCGACGCUGUUUUCAAGUCACACGCCCUGGGCCUGAUUGUUGGUAUGGAUUUAAGGUGCAGGCAGCUCAUCUUCCUCGUGAGUGUUAAGUGCUGGGCCAAAGCGCAGUGCAUUAACGAUCCAAAGAUGGGGACCUUGAACUCGUAUGCACUGUCUUUACUCGUUAUAUUUCAUCUCCAAACUCGAAAUCCACCUAUUUUGCCACCAUUGAGCGCUAUCAUCGGUCAAGUCGGUGCCUCAGCUGAUGGCUUUCAGUAUCUAAGCAGGAUCGCAGAGUUUACAGAAAGAGGUUUUGGGAAGGGAAAUACGAGCUCAGUUGCAGAGUUGUUCGUGUCAUUUUUUGGCCAGUUUUCGGCUGUUGAGGAGUUGUGGAUUCAAGGUCUAGCUGUGUGUACUUUCCGUGGACAGUGGGGGGACAAAACGACCACCGAUCCGUCAUGGGCAAGCAAGAAUUAUGCGAUGCUGGUGGAAGACCCGUUUGAUUUAUCUGAAAACUGCGCAAGAUCCGUGCAUCAAGGCAGCCUUCAACAUGUUUGCAAGGCAUUUAGGCUGAGUCACGAGCUACUGUGCGAUAAAUUCUCCUACUGGUUCUUGGGAAAACUGAAAGAAACGCUCUUCCGGUGGCCACAUGCGAGUCCACGGCCCUGUUUUCAUCCGUCGAGGCCAGGGAUAGAGCAGCUACGGGAACACGCCUCGCUCAACGCUUCCAGGAAGAAUGACAGGCCGGAGAAGCAAAAGAAAGGAAAGAAACAAGUAAAGCAAUAACAUCACAGCAGGAUGUAAAUAUCUCAACAUAGGAUUUUAUCGUGAUGCCGUGGUCGAGCGAGGAAGUUUGGAUCAGAAAACAGAAAAGAACUAAGUUAUACCCAGCUUUUCAACCGAAAUACGGGAACCAACAGUAUCGCUCUUCUUUCUCCUAGUCAGCAGGAGUCUGGAUUUGCAGUCGGAUAGUAUAUAGAAUGCCAUUUGCAAGAAGCUCAGUAGCCUGCGUAGCAACAAUGAAGAAAGCUACUAUUGAGCCAGCAGCCCGAGUGUCACGCACAUUGGCGGAGUUCUUGAACCCUGCAAGCUACAAUCUGGCGCUUGCUGGAAGGAUACAAGGACCGUGGCCAUGCUAAAAAAGUGCGAAGCUUUUGCUUUCACUCGCCGUUUCCUUCUCGAGCGUCUGAGUUACCUUCUGCUGGUCCGACUCUGCUGAGCAGCCAAGCGGUGAUUGGAUUUGAGGGAGAGCAUGCCUGAUGAACAAACUUGAGCAGGAUUCUGCAGCAAGGCUGGCGCAUCCCACUCUCAACCAGCAUGGCCACCUUCAAUCCACAGGAAAGGUUUCUGUACAUGGCCGGUGCAAUCUGCAGAGCAGCUGGACAGAUCAGUAACAGGCCCUAGGAGCGAAAAGUCGGCUCCAAAGCGGAAACUGUUUUCACACUCGACAAAGAUUGCACACAUCAACAAAAAGUUAAGACCUCAAAUAAAUGCAAGGAUCAUAUUGUUUA